RNAcentral lists this transfer RNA (73 nucleotides) under Anaerolineae bacterium. RNAcentral describes it as "tRNA-Arg". It matches the Rfam family "tRNA". From Rfam's summary of the family: Transfer RNA (tRNA) molecules are approximately 80 nucleotides in length. Their secondary structure includes four short double-helical elements and three loops (D, anti-codon, and T loops). Further hydrogen bonds mediate the characteristic L-shaped molecular structure. tRNAs have two regions of fundamental functional importance: the anti-codon, which is responsible for specific mRNA codon recognition, and the 3' end, to which the tRNAs corresponding amino acid is attached (by aminoacyl-tRNA synthetases). tRNAs cope with the degeneracy of the genetic code in two manners: having more than one tRNA (with a specific anti-codon) for a particular amino acid; and 'wobble' base-pairing, i.e. permitting non-standard base-pairing at the 3rd anti-codon position. Lineage: Bacteria; Bacillati; Chloroflexota; Anaerolineae. The record is from RNAcentral.
GUACCUGUAGCUCAGUGGAUAGAGCACUUGUCUACGGAACAAGGGGUCCGGGGUUCGAAUCCCUGCAGGUACG